CGGCGGACGGGUGAGUAAUGCCUAGGAAUCUGCCUGGUAGUGGGGGACAACGUUUCGAAAGGAACGCUAAUACCGCAUACGUCCUACGGGAGAAAGUGGGGAUCUUCGGACCUCACGCUAUCAGAUGAGCCUAGGUCGGAUUAGCUAGUUGGUGGGGUAACGGCUCACCAAGGCGACGAUCCGUAACUGGUCUGAGAGGAUGAUCAGUCACACUGGAACUGAGACACGGUCCAG
This 234-nucleotide ribosomal RNA is filed under the name uncultured Pseudomonadales bacterium. Its description in RNAcentral is "partial 16S ribosomal RNA". It matches the Rfam family "Bacterial small subunit ribosomal RNA", at positions 96 to 334 of the family's 1533-position model. The record is from RNAcentral. Lineage: Bacteria; Pseudomonadati; Pseudomonadota; Gammaproteobacteria; Pseudomonadales.